This 873-nucleotide ribosomal RNA is filed under the name Chloroflexi bacterium SCGC AAA240-O05. Its description in RNAcentral is "SSU rRNA". It matches the Rfam family "Bacterial small subunit ribosomal RNA", at positions 28 to 909 of the family's 1533-position model. Lineage: Bacteria; Bacillati; Chloroflexota. The record is from RNAcentral.
GAUGACGCUGGCGGCGUGCCUAAUACAUGCAAGUCGAACGAGGAGCCUCACAUCUUCGGAUGAGGGGAUUUCCUAGUGGCGGACGGGUGCGUAACACGUGGGUGACCUGCCCCGAAGUGGGGAAUAACUCCGCGAAAGCGGAGCUAAUACCGCAUGAUGUCGCGCGAGUUAGAGGUCGCGCAUCUAAAGAUUUCGGUCGCUUCGGGAGGGGCCCGCGGCCCAUCAGCUAGUUGGUGGGGUAAUGGCUCACCAAGGCUAUGACGGGUAGGGGACCUGAGAGGGUGAACCCCCACACUGGAACUGAGACACGGUCCAGACACCUACGGGUGGCAGCAGUAGGGAAUAUUGCACAAUGGGCGAAAGCCUGAUGCAGCAACGCCGCGUGCGCGAUGAAGGCCUUCGGGUCGUAAAGCGCUUUUCGGAGGGAUGAAUCAAGACAGUACCUCCAGAAUAAGGAUCGGCUAACUACGUGCCAGCAGCCGCGGUAAAACGUAGGAUCCAAGCGUUAUCCGGAAUUACUGGGCGUAAAGGGCGUGUAGGCGGCUUGGCAAGUCGGUCAUGAAAGCUCCCGGCUCAACUGGGAGAGGUUGUCCGAUACUGCCAAGCUAGAGGGCAAGAGAGGGAGGUGGAAUUCCCGGUGUAGUGGUGAAAUGCGUAGAUAUCGGGAGGAACACCAGUGGCGAAGGCGGCCUCCUGGCUUGUUCCUGACGCUGAGGCGCGAAAGCGUGGGGAGCGAACGGGAUUAGAAACCCCGGUAGUCCACGCUGUAAACGAUGUCAACUAGGUGUCGGCGGUGUAGAAUCCGUCGGUAUCGAAGCAAACGCGUUAAGUUGACCGCCUGGGGACUACGAUCGCAAGAUUAAACUAAUGGAU